GCCGAAAUAGCUCAGGUGGGAGAGCGUCAGACUGAAGAUCUGAAAGGUCCCUGGUUCAAUCCCGGGUUUCGGCA
RNAcentral lists this transfer RNA (74 nucleotides) under Dendronephthya gigantea. RNAcentral's name for it is "tRNA-Phe". It matches the Rfam family "tRNA". From Rfam's summary of the family: Transfer RNA (tRNA) molecules are approximately 80 nucleotides in length. Their secondary structure includes four short double-helical elements and three loops (D, anti-codon, and T loops). Further hydrogen bonds mediate the characteristic L-shaped molecular structure. tRNAs have two regions of fundamental functional importance: the anti-codon, which is responsible for specific mRNA codon recognition, and the 3' end, to which the tRNAs corresponding amino acid is attached (by aminoacyl-tRNA synthetases). tRNAs cope with the degeneracy of the genetic code in two manners: having more than one tRNA (with a specific anti-codon) for a particular amino acid; and 'wobble' base-pairing, i.e. permitting non-standard base-pairing at the 3rd anti-codon position. Lineage: Eukaryota; Metazoa; Cnidaria; Anthozoa; Malacalcyonacea; Nephtheidae. The record is from RNAcentral.